UUAAUUUUCUAUGUUUUAAAUUAUGUAAUGUGGUUUUAAUUAAUAUAAAAUAUGUUAUUUAUAAAAUGUUAUUUAUAAAAUAUGUUAUUUAUUUAAUAUUUUAUUUACUUAACAAGAUGGUAAAAAAAUAAAAAAAUAAUAUAAAAGUGAAUGUUGUUAGUGGUGACAAUUUCCAUAGUGGAGUAGGUUGGUGGGGAAGAUGACGUGGCGCAGAGGUGGCGUCACUUUUCCGGUGAGUUUGUAGUGACCACUCCAUAUAGCCUUGCCACCACCACCACCCUCGACUUUUCUGUAAACACUGCCACCACCGGUCAAUACCUCUCUCUCCCACCAUCACCUGCCGGAAAAAUAUGAACAACCACCGCCUCUCUCUCUCUCCUGAUGAACCCACAGUCUUUCUCCAGAUUUUCUAACAUACAUGAAUACAAAAAAAUCUGAAAUUUAACAUACAUGAACACAUAAACAAUCAAGAAAUUUGAACACACACACUAAAAAAUCAUAAACUUAAAAAACAAGAACACAUACAAAACCCAUAUAUUUUCUAUCACUUCAAGUGGGAGACGAAGAGACAGAAAUGUUGAUCGGAGAUCGGAGCUACAAACUUUGCUUGGUCCGUUAUCACUUCAAACCUUCACAAACGUAGAUCGAACUUCUGCCUCGUAUCACCGUCUUCUCCUAUAAAACCCUAAUCGUUCUUCUGCCUCCUAUCGCCACCGCCCUUCGUGGUGAAACCCUUGGUAGUUUUGAUGCCUCUGAUCGAUGAAAGGGAAUUCCAACAACUAGACGAGAAGGGAGGUCCGAAGAUCUGUUUGUGGUGAAGGGGUGAAGCAAGAAAGGAGAGAGACGCUCAAACCCAACAACGUCGCUCAAAUCCUUACGUUGGCGGCUAGGGGUUUCAUAUGGAUUGUCCUCUAUGUCCNGCUAGGGUUUUCAUAUGGAUUGUCCUCUAUGUCCUCUGCUCCGAUGACGACUUCACCUCUGCAAAGCCUACAUCGAAACCCCCUCGUUCCAGCUGCCAUCAUCGCCUCUUUAAACCCAAACUUUGUCUCUCCCCUUCUCCAACGAUGGUGCCUAGUUUCGGAUCAGAAGGGAAUCAGAUCAGGUUCAAAGGUUGCAUAGUCGUGGUGGCGGCCAAGAGUUAACAGAAGAAAGGAAGACGGCGUCGGAGGUUGGUGAGGGGGCGGUGAAGGCGGAUAGUGGUUGCAGUUAGGGUGUUAUUGUGUGUGUGUGUUUCCCUAACAGAGAGAGAAAGAGAGGUGACGAGAGAGAGAGAGCAUUUUUCUUUUCUUUUUUUAUUUAUUUUGUAAAAAAAUUGAAAAAACAAUAUGCAAAGGGCAAAGUCGUCAUUUAAAACCAUAAUGGACCAAACUCGUAACAAAAUAAAACUGUUUGGACCACUGGUGCUAGUCCAAACCUGUUUGGCCUAAAGUGACAUUUUUCAACAUACCACAAGGACCAUUCUUGCAAUUUUGUCAAAAAUUUAAACUAGGAUAGAGUGUGCUUCACUUCGGACAAUAAGUGCUAGUAUCAUUCAUAUUGUAUCCCACCUAGCUACAGAUGCAAUUUUUUUUUCAUCGAAGUCAAUAUUGUAAGGUAUUUUUGCACAUUUGAUACCAUAAGGUAUUUUAGCAUUCAAGUUUAAGUUCUCAGUGGCUUUUGGCGCUUUUUCAAACUUAUUUCUUAUGAAGGUUUGAAUGUUUCUUUUUCUAAAUACGGAAUUAAUCUAAAGGUGGAGUUUGUUGAAAUAUAAUUUGAUUCCAUCCUUUUUUUUUUGGCAACACUUUGUUAGAAUUUUUGUUUAUGCGAGUUAUUUUCUCUUUCUGAGGACAUCACCUCAAACAGAAGGAGAGAGUUAGGCUUGAUAUGGAGAAACUUUUUCUUUUCGAGAUGACCUCAAAUAGGAGCGUGUGGAGACUAAAAAUCAUAGUGGACGGGUAGCCUUGCUCCCGUGUAUGUUUUGUUUCAUGAUUGACCAUUUGACAUAUAUUUUGUGCUCUUAUCUUUGCAUCAUGGUCUAUUCAUCUAUUGUUUUACUGCUCACAUUUUACGUACUUUCUAUUGUCUUGCCUAUUUUCUAGGUUCUUGGAGUUGGAGACCCUAAUUUGAUUUUUUUAAUCUUUAUGUAUUUAUGCUAACUCUGAUUUACAUUCUAUGUUUGUAUUUUUUACAUGUUGUCAGUUGCUCAUGUCGGAGGUCAUCUAUCCAAAGCAAUCUUUUUACCCCAUAUGGAGGUAUAAGUGCCGACAUCUACCUCCCCUACCCCAUCUCAAUGGGAUAUCUGAGGUUUGUUGUUGCUGUGUUAUUCUUUGUUAAGGCAACGUUUCUAGAAUUAUCGUUGCAUAAGGUUUUUUUUUUUUCUUUUUUUUUUUUUUGUGGUUCGAUUUCUAUCCUGAUUAGGAGGUCGUUACUUGGUUAUCAAGUCACAAUAUUAUUUAGGAAUGUUUCCCUUAUUAUUAGGAGUUAUUCAAGUAAAAACAUCCACAAUGCAUUAAACUCCAACAAAAUCAAUAGAUUGUUACAUCAUUAUUCCAUGAAACUUUAUCAUUUUGAUAUUCCAAUGCAUUGAACUCUACAAAAUUCAAUGAAAUAUUAGGAUAGUUAAUUUAUAAUAUUUAUAACUCCAUGUGUUGUUUCCCGUGUAUGUUUGUCAAUUCUUUAAUCAAAGGCAUCCCAUUUACCAUAUGAUUAUUGACGUGACAAAACGCUUAUGCCAAAGAUAAGAAACAUUCUAUGUUCAUGUAUAAGAGUUGCUAUGCAAUUCAUCUAAGCGUAUCCAAAUUGUUCAAUUCUUCAAUUGAACACAAUGCGACUUAAACUUGAGCGUUAUUAGCUUAGACACUUCUCCGUGAUUAGUUUCUCCUAAACAACUUCUUCAUAGAUGGGCCUUUAAUACAGUUUGAAAAAAAUACGAAUGGGCCUUUAUAUGUGUUGUUUCCCAUGUAUCUUUUUGGCCCGAUUGAAGGCCCAGUUGUUGAUUCCAAUAUUCAAAGAAUAUUUCUAUUAAUCUCCCACAAGGAUCACAAAUGAGUGGUAGAUAGCUGGGUCCCAUCUUCAUACACCCCUUCACCAGCCUCACAUUUCCAUAUCCCAAUCUAAACUUUUAAUAAAAAUAGUUUACAAAAUAAAAAAAAAAACACAAAUCUUUGCCUUCUGAACUCAGCCAUGGCAGCAACGACAUCUUCAAACCUCCUUCACUUCUCCAGUUCCCACUCAACUUCACGCCUAUCCCCUCUCAAAACCGCCCUCUUUUCAUGCUCCAAGAGAAAGCUUCCGGUGGCCGGUGGUGGUGCCGCCACCACCACAGGUGGAGUACGGUGCAUGGCGGUGGCAGCAGAGGCGGCGUCUGUAAAGAAGACGAGUUCUUAUCAGAUAAUGACAUUGACAACCUGGUUGUUGAAACAAGAGCAAUCUGGAAUCAUCGAUGCUGAACUUACCAUCGUCUUGUCCAGCAUUUCAAUGGCUUGUAAACAGAUCGCAUCUUUGGUGCAGCGAGCCAGCAUCUCCAACAUGACCGGAGUUCAGGGAGCUGUUAAUAUUCAGGGAGAGGAUCAGAAGAAGCUCGAUGUCAUCUCCAAUGAGGUCUGUUACGUCACUGUCACUAGUACUGUACUUUUUCGCAAAUCAUGUCUCAAAUUGAUCCCAAUACAUUUAGACAAAAAUAAUAUAAUAAGUAGAGUAAAUUUUUGCUUGAAUUUUAACUGAAGAAGAAGAUUACAGUGACUUUUAUUUAUUUAUUUAUUUAUUUUGCGUCACUUUGGGAAAACAGGGUGUUGCGAAUUUUCACAAAUGAACAGCUCUUCAAAUCUUGCAUGAAAUAAUUAUAUGAUACCUAAUCGGAUACUUCAUUUAGUGAUACAUUCAUCCAUUUCUACUUGAAUUGGAAAAAAGAGUUGGGUGUUAACUAGUUGAAAAAUGUGGUGGAUUCAACAGGUGUUUUCGAAUUGUUUGAGAUCGAGUGGAAGAACUGGGAUCAUUGCAUCGGAGGAGGAGGACGUGCCGGUGGCGGUGGAAGAGAGUUACUCCGGCAACUACAUUGUGGUGUUUGAUCCUCUUGAUGGAUCAUCCAACAUUGAUGCUGCUGUUUCAACUGGUUCUAUUUUCGGAAUCUACAGUCCAAACGACGAGUGUCUCCCUGAUCUUGACGAUAACUCCACGGUAACUUCCCGAUCAACUUGACUUUUAAGGUCAAACAGAUUCCAAUCAAACGCCGAUUGUUGGCUCUUGAAGUGAAAAUAGAUGUUUGAAGCUAACAAUAGAAAUUAAUUCUUGUAUAUGCAGCUGGACACCGAGGAACAGAGGUGCAUCGUGAACGUAUGCCAGCCCGGAACCAACCUUCUGGCAGCCGGUUACUGCAUGUACUCAAGCUCCGUCAUCUUCGUGCUCUCCAUAGGAACCGGCGUUUAUUCA
This 4407-nucleotide long non-coding RNA is filed under the name Lactuca sativa (garden lettuce). RNAcentral's name for it is "long non-coding RNA (LSAT_LNC008307)". Lineage: Eukaryota; Viridiplantae; Streptophyta; Magnoliopsida; Asterales; Asteraceae. The record is from RNAcentral.